GCCGGGUGCGGUGGCUCACGCCUGUAAUCCCAGCACUUUGGGAGGCUGAGGUGGGUGGAUCACUUGAGGUCAGGAGUUCAAGACCAGCCUGACCAACAUGGUGAAACCCCAUCUCUA
This is an unclassified non-coding RNA of Macaca fascicularis (crab-eating macaque), 117 nucleotides long. It matches the Rfam family "Metazoan signal recognition particle RNA". Rfam says of the family: The signal recognition particle (SRP) is a universally conserved ribonucleoprotein. Lineage: Eukaryota; Metazoa; Chordata; Mammalia; Primates; Cercopithecidae. The record is from Ensembl.